RNAcentral lists this ribosomal RNA (492 nucleotides) under uncultured bacterium. RNAcentral's name for it is "partial 16S ribosomal RNA". It matches the Rfam family "Bacterial small subunit ribosomal RNA", at positions 29 to 507 of the family's 1533-position model. The record is from RNAcentral.
AGUGAACGCUGGCGGUAGGCCUAACACAUGCAAGUCGAACGGCAGCACAGUAAGAGCUUGCUCUUACGGGUGGCGAGUGGCGGACGGGUGAGGAAUACAUCGGAAUCUACUUUUUCGUGGGGGAUAACGUAGGGAAACUUACGCUAAUACCGCAUACGACCUACGGGUGAAAGCAGGGGAUCUUCGGACCUUGCGCGAUUGAAUGAGCCGAUGUCGGAUUAGCUAGUUGGCGGGGUAAAGGCCCACCAAGGCGACGAUCCGUAGCUGGUCUGAGAGGAUGAUCAGACACACUGGAACUGAGACAAGGGCCAGACUCCUACGGGAGGCAGCAGUGGGGAAUAUUGGACAAUGGGCGCAAGCCUGAUCCAGCCAUACCGCGUGGGUGAAGAAGGCCUUCGGGUUGUAAAGCCCUUUUGUUGGGAAAGAAAAGCAGCAGGUUAAUACCCCGCUGUUCUGACGGUACCCAAAGAAUAAGCACCGGCUAACUUCGUG